This is a long non-coding RNA of Mytilus californianus (California mussel), 459 nucleotides long. RefSeq lists it as uncharacterized. The transcript has 3 exons. The record is from RefSeq and is a predicted model, not a curated record. NCBI's taxonomy places the organism in Eukaryota, Metazoa, Mollusca, Bivalvia, Mytilida, Mytilidae.
UUAAAGAACCUUAGUGAGCGCGCUCACAUACCCCACGUCCCCACAUUGUCAUUGGAUAAAUAAAAUAAGUGUAAGAAAAAAAAAUUGUAUCAGAAAAAAAAAUUGAAUCAUAAUUUCCUGUCAAUAUGCACAUCUACAUAGUAUGUCCUUAUUAUCUACACAGUUUCAUAAAAUUCUGUUGUGUGGUUUGAGAGGAGUUGCGAUGACAAACUGUUGCAGUAGUACAUUAAAGUAAAUAAGUUCAAAGGGGCGUAACUCCUAGAAAAAGAAUUGAAUCGUAAUUUCCUGUCGAUAUGCACAACUACAUAGUAUGUCCUUAUUAUCUAAAAAGGUUUCGUGAAAUUCUGUUGUGUGGUUUGAGAGGAGUUGCGAUGACAAGAAACAGGACUGACAGACUGACAGACUGACGGACGGACGGGUCAAAAACAUUAUACCCUCCGCAACUCGUUGUGUGGGGUA